Molecule: ribosomal RNA, 493 nt
Filed under: uncultured bacterium
Lineage: Bacteria
Description: partial 16S ribosomal RNA
Rfam family: Bacterial small subunit ribosomal RNA
Source: RNAcentral
AUUGAACGCUGGCGGCAUGCUUUACACAUGCAAGUCGAACGGUAACAGGUUAAGCUGACGAGUGGCGAACAGGUGAGUAAUGCAUCGGAACGUGCCCGAUCGUGGGGGAUAACGCAGCGAAAGCUGCGCUAAUACCGCAUACGAUCUGAGGAUGAAAGCGGGGGACCGUAAGGCCUCGCGCGAUCGGAGCGGCCGAUGUCAGAUUAGGUAGUUGGUGGGGUAAAGGCUCACCAAGCCAACGAUCUGUAGCUGGUCUGAGAGGACGACCAGCCACACUGGGACUGAGACACGGCCCAGACUCCUACGGGAGGCAGCAGUGGGGAAUUUUGGACAAUGGACGCAAGUCUGAUCCAGCCAUGCCGCGUGCGGGAAGAAGGCUUUCGGGUUGUAAACCGCUUUUGUCAGGGAAGAAACGAGUGUCUCUAAUACAGAUGCUUAAUGACGGUACCUGAAGAAUAAGCACCGGCUAACUACGUGCCAGCCGCAGCCGCCG